GAUGAACGCUGGCGGCGUGCCUAAUACAUGCAAGUCGAGCGAACGGACGAGAAACUUGCUUCUCUGAUGUUAGCGGCGGACGGGUGAGUAAAACGUGGAUAACCUACCUAUAAGACUGGGAUAACUUCGUGAAACCGGAGCUAAUACCGGAUAAUAUUUUGAACCGCAUGGUUCAAAAGUGAAAGACGGUCUUGCUGUCACUUAUAGAUGGAUCCGCGCUGCUUUAGCUAGUUGGUAAGGUAACGGCUUACCAAGGGAACAAUGCAUAGCCGACCUGAGAGAGGGAUCGCCCACACGGGAACUGGGACCGGCCCCAGACUCCUACGGGGGGCAGCGUGGGGGAAUUUUCCGCAAGGGGGGAAAGCCGGACGGAGCAAGGCGGCGUGAGUGAGGCAGGUUUUCGGUUCGUAAGACUCGUUUAUUAGGGAAGAACAUAUUUGUAAGAAACUGGGCACAUCUUGACGGUACCGAAACAGAAAGCCACGGCUAACUACGUG
This 497-nucleotide ribosomal RNA is filed under the name uncultured bacterium. RNAcentral describes it as "partial 16S ribosomal RNA". It matches the Rfam family "Bacterial small subunit ribosomal RNA", at positions 28 to 507 of the family's 1533-position model. The record is from RNAcentral.